ACCCAAAGUUCAGUGGUAGAAUUCUUGCUUUGGGUUUCCGAAUCUGAAAUGUAAGAGGUCUCCGGUUCGAUCCCGGAUUAGGCC
Sclerotinia sclerotiorum 1980 UF-70 is the source of this 84-nucleotide non-coding RNA. Lineage: Eukaryota; Fungi; Ascomycota; Leotiomycetes; Helotiales; Sclerotiniaceae. The record is from the annotation of a RefSeq genome assembly.